Molecule: non-coding RNA, 113 nt
Filed under: Desulfosporosinus sp.
Lineage: Bacteria; Bacillati; Bacillota; Clostridia; Eubacteriales; Desulfitobacteriaceae
Description: TPP sequence
Rfam family: TPP riboswitch aptamer (THI element)
About the family: Vitamin B(1) in its active form thiamin pyrophosphate (TPP) is an essential coenzyme that is synthesised by coupling of pyrimidine and thiazole moieties in bacteria.
Source: RNAcentral
GAUAAUGGGCGGGGGGGCUGGAAAGGCCAGCUGAGAUUUAGACACUAUAAGGUCUAGGACCCUUAUAACCUGAUCUGGAUAAUGCCAGCGUAGGUAAGCAGUUUACUCUUUUA